UUUUGUAGAAUGAACCGGCGAGUUACGAUUUGAUGCAAGGUUAAGCAGUAAAUGUGGAGCCGUAGCGAAAGCGAGUCUGAAUAGGGCGUUUAGUAUUUGGUCGUAGACCCGAAACCAGGUGAUCUACCCUUGGUCAGGUUGAAGUUCAGGUAACACUGAAUGGAGGACCGAACCGACUUACGUUGAAAAGUGAGCGGAUGAACUGAGGGUAGCGGAGAAAUUCCAAUCGAACCUGGAGAUAGCUGGUUCUCUCCGAAAUAGCUUUAGGGCUAGCCUCAAGUGAUGAUUAUUGGAGGUAGAGCACUGUUUGGACGAGGGGCCCCUCUCGGGUUACCGAAUUCAGACAAACUCCGAAUGCCAAUUAAUUUAACUUGGGAGUCAGAACAUGGGUGAUAAGGUCCGUGUUCGAAAGGGAAACAGCCCAGACCACCAGCUAAGGUCCCAAAAUAUAUGUUAAGUGGAAAAGGAUGUGGCGUUGCCCAGACAACUAGGAUGUUGGCUUAGAAGCAGCCAUCAUUUAAAGAGUGCGUAAUAGCUCACUAGUCGAGUGACACUGCGCCGAAAAUGUACCGGGGCUAAACAUAUUACCGAAGCUGUGGAUUGUCCUUUGGACAAUGGUAGGAGAGCGUUCUAAGGGCGUUGAAGCAUGAUCGUAAGGACAUGUGGAGCGCUUAGAAGUGAGAAUGCCGGUGUGAGUAGCGAAAGACGGGUGAGAAUCCCGUCCACCGAUUGACUAAGGUUUCCAGAGGAAGGCUCGUCCGCUCUGGGUUAGUCGGGUCCUAAGCUGAGGCCGACAGGCGUAGGCGAUGGAUAACAGGUUGAUAUUCCUGUACCACCUAUAAUCGUUUUA
Molecule: ribosomal RNA, 850 nt
Filed under: Staphylococcus aureus
Lineage: Bacteria; Bacillati; Bacillota; Bacilli; Caryophanales; Staphylococcaceae
Description: partial 23S ribosomal RNA
Rfam family: Bacterial large subunit ribosomal RNA
Source: RNAcentral